AUGCCACAUACAACACAUCGGUGGAGUGAAAGUGCAAACCAUUUGCUGAAAUGAUAUGUGCCACCAGGAUCCCCGAUGCACCUUUUCAUCAGGCAACAUGAGAAGAUGCAAUUUGACAGAGAUUCAGAGGAGAGUUAUCAAGAGAAGAGAACCAAACUGGGAUAG
RNAcentral lists this ribosomal RNA (165 nucleotides) under Triticum aestivum (bread wheat). Its description in RNAcentral is "partial small subunit ribosomal RNA". The record is from RNAcentral. Lineage: Eukaryota; Viridiplantae; Streptophyta; Magnoliopsida; Poales; Poaceae.